ACACGUAGGGGGCGAGCGUUGUUCGGAAUCAUUGGGCGUAGAGGGCGCGCAGGCGGCGGCUCAAGUCAGGUGUGAAAGUUCCCGGCUCAACCGGGUGAGGCGCUUGAAACUGGGCCGCUGGAGUACAGGAGGGGUCGUCGGAAUUCCAGGUGUAGGGGUGAAUUCUGUAGAUAUCUGGAAGAACACCGGUGGCGAAGGCGGACGACUGGCCAUGUACUGACGCUGAGGCGCGAAGGUGCGGGGAGCGAACAGGUUUAGAUACCCUGGUAGUCCGCACAGUAAACGAUGUGCACCAGGUGGCGGGGGGUAGCCCCCGGUACCGAAGCUAACGCAUUAAGUGCACCGCCUGGGGAGUAUGCUCGCAAGGGUGAAACUCAAAGGAAUUGACGGGG
This 392-nucleotide ribosomal RNA is filed under the name uncultured bacterium. RNAcentral's name for it is "partial 16S ribosomal RNA". It matches the Rfam family "Bacterial small subunit ribosomal RNA", at positions 523 to 918 of the family's 1533-position model. The record is from RNAcentral.